RNAcentral lists this non-coding RNA (30 nucleotides) under Rattus norvegicus (Norway rat). The record is from RNAcentral. Lineage: Eukaryota; Metazoa; Chordata; Mammalia; Rodentia; Muridae.
UUGGAUUGAUAUGCACAUAAAAGACAGGAC